Hemicordylus capensis (graceful crag lizard) is the source of this 3576-nucleotide long non-coding RNA. RefSeq lists it as uncharacterized. Lineage: Eukaryota; Metazoa; Chordata; Lepidosauria; Squamata; Cordylidae. The transcript is spliced from 6 exons. The record is from RefSeq and is a predicted model, not a curated record.
AGUUUGCCGCUGACCAUGGGGGUGAGGAUGACCUCAAGCAGCACACUGCAACCGAUAUGUACAAGAAAGCAUCACAUUCUAAAGGUGCAACUAACAUUACCGAAUUCUUUGUUGCAAAUACCAAAAACAACAAAGUGGUGCCAGUGAACUUUCGUCGGUGUAUCAUACAAUUAAACAUGGCCUUAGUUACAACAUGAAUUGCAGCAAUAAGCUACAUGCUGAAAUGUUUCAUGACUCAAGCACAGCAAGUGAAAUGAGCUGCGCAAGAGCCAAAUGUGAACUUUUAGCAGUCCGUGUUCUUGGGCCGAAGUCUGUAAGGGAUAUUUUGGAGGACUUGUCAUUCUCAAAGCAAGGAGCUCCUGUAUUUUUCUUGGUUAUCACUGAUGCCUCAAAUAAGGAAAACAGAAAAGUGUUUCCAGUGUGUCUUUGGUACUUUACUGCUGAUGAAAUCCAGUGUAAACUCCUUGCUUUUUGUGAGGAUAGUGACAAAACAGCAAACGGCAUUCAUUGAGCUAUUAUGGACUGCCUCAAAAGACAUCAGCUGUAUUGCUGCAUACUCUGCGGACAAUGUUAAUGUGAAUUAUGGGAGACAUCAUUCUGUUUACCAGUUGUACAAUGAAAACAACCAACAUCUUGAAAGCAAAUUGUCCAACCUAUAUAUAUAUCAACACAUACAAACAUGUGUAGGACCAGUUGUCCAUUGCUAUUGAGUCUGUAGAUUUUCAACACAAUAAUCACUACUUCUCUCCAGACCUAUUUUACUGGGUAAGUUAAAACAUUAAAAAGAACUACAACAAAGAACAGACAUUUUGAUGUAUAAACAUCAGCUUCAGUGUUCUAUUUCCCACUGUUUAAAAUCCACACUCUUAUAUCUGAAACUUUAAUCACAACAAUAAUCACUUUUCAGCAUUUGCCCCUCAGCAAGAAGAACUGCAGCUUCUUUGCUUUCGUUGAUCGUGAGUGGAGAGAUAACUUGUAUCAUGUCAGUACUAGAUGGCUCUCUCUCUAUCCUGGAUGUCAAUCACCUGUUGCAAAAUUUGCUGGCGAUUUCUUCCUACUUCAGGUCACUUGGAGAUUCUUGCCCUGUUAGGUUAAAGAGUGUUUUUACAGAGGAUGAGGAGCAAACACACAUUGUGAAGAUCUACCUGUAUUUUUUCCAAAACAGGUGCCAUUUUUGGUCAACGUUUUGUAAAUGUUUGUGCAUUCAGAAGUCUGCAUCACUGAAGUAUAUGCAGAAAUGUGCAGAUUUAAAGCAAAAAUGUGUGACUGAUUUGGGGGGGGGGGGGGAUUCCAGACCAAACAGUUGAUAGCCAAAGCAAAAGGCAAAACAGUUGAUUACUGCCAGAGCAAAAGGCAAAGCUGGAGCAGGACUUAAUUAGGUUCUAUGACUGUCAUUACAUAUAUUGACAUAUAGUUUGAUUUCUCCACUGAUAAUGUGAUGAUGAAGCUCCAACUGACUGAAAUGAUCAACACUGACCAGAUGUGUGAAGAAUUCUGUAUAAGCCGUGAUGAGAUCAAGUAGACAAGAAUUGACUCUACCAAAUCAGCUAGUGAAAAAUAGGUGGCUACUUUUCAGAAAGCUGGGAAAGAGAACAUGAAAAACUUAUUCUAGAUUGUGUUGUUGAUCCUGGCAUACUGAGAACCAAAUGGAUUUAUGGAGAGGAUAUUUUCAUUGAUGGGCAGCAAAUGGUCAGAUGCAAGGAACAGAUGCUGUGUUGACCUGAUAAAAAGCAAGCUGCAGGUCUUGACCAGCUUUAAUAUGUCCUGUGAGGACUUUUAUUACUCCGUGCAAAAGGAAAAGGAGCUGUUGAAAGCUGUGAAGAGCAGCAAGAAAUACCCAUGGAGAAAAUAGGAUUCUGCUAUGAGGUGGUGUUUGUGGACUCCAUUUGAUUGUCAAAGAAUGGAUGAAGAACACUGUCUUAUUUGCAAAGAAAUACUUGGUGGUGAUUGUGCAGAAAUGUCUGAAAAAGGGAUGCAUGGCAUCGUCGGGGUGUACAAACUCACAGGUACAAAGCUGCUUCUUCCAAAAGCAACAGGGCACUGUCUAUGGAAACCAGUGAGGCAUCUCUGCAGGGAUGUUUCCCCCAGGUUCUGCUGACUCAGAUACUGCCCAUCUCUGUACGCAACCAUUCAUAUCUUCCAUUGCACCUUGUGAGCCUGGCCUGGGAGAGUAUAUUAGAGAAGGAGCCCAGAGCGGUGUACUACAUACUUGAGUUUCUCCUCACAACAACCUGUGAAGUAGGUUAGGCAGAGAGAGAAGUGACUGGCCCAGAGUCACCCAGCAAGUCUCAUGGCUGAAUGGGGAUUUGAACUCGGAUCUCCCCGGUCCUAGUCCAACAGCACUCUAACCACUACACCACGCUGGCUCCUUGUUCCCGGACCAUUCACUGGUCCUUGGAAAGGAUGCACUGCCUAGAGAGAGAGAGAUCAGGCACUAUAUACAUAUGAUAAACAAACAAACAAAAUCAACCAACCAAUCAAUCAAUCACACAAGAAUGAAAGUAUCCAGUAGAUGGAUUCUUUUGUCUUCAGUCAAUGACAAAAUUGCAUAGGACCACAAAGGAGACUUAAGAUGAGAGUUGCAGUUAUUCUUGACCAAUUACAGCAGGAGAUGAGGGAGCCACGUACUAUAUCCCUAGGCUCUAUUCCCAGUUCCAUAAAGGUGCAGAGAACAUAAUGGUUAAAGCUGGAGACUUUGUAUCUGUCACCAUCUUUAGGGGUGCAACAAUAUAAGUGGAAAAUCAGACAUCAAGACCUAGCAAUGGCUUAAGAAUGACAACUUGAAGAAAGAAACAGAGGGUUUAAUACUGGCUGCACAAGAACAGGCACUACGAACAAAUGCAAUAAGAGCAAAAGUCAAAAAACCCACAACAAACAGCAAGUGCCGCCUUUGUAAAGAAGCAGAUGAAACAGUGGACCACCUAAUUAGCUGUUGUAGAAAGAUCGCACAGACUGACUACAAACAAAGGCAUGACAAAAUAGCAGGGAUGAUACACUGGAACAUCUGCAAAAAAUACAAACUACCUGUAGCCAAACAUUGGUGGGACCAUACAUUUGAAAAAGUUGUAGAAAAUGAAGAUGCAAAAAUAUUAUGGGACUUCCGACUACAAACAGACAAGCAUCUGCCACACAAUACACCAGAUAUAACUGUAGUCGAGAAGAAAGAAAAACAAGUUAAAAUAAUCAACAUAGCAAUACCAGGGGAUAGCAGAAUAGAAAAAGAAAUAGAAAAAAUCCCAAAAUACAAAGAUAUUGAAAUUGAAAGACUGUGGCAGAAGAAGACCAAAAUAAUCCCAGUGGUAAUUGGCGCCCUGGGUGCAGUUCCAAAAGACCUUGAAGAGCACCUCAACACCAUAGGGGCCACAGAAAUCACCAUCAGCCAAUUACAAAAAGCAACUUUACUGGGAACAGCCUAUAUCCUGCGACAAUAUCUAUAACAACAGCAACAACACUGAUAAUACAAUUCAGCCAUCCCAGGUCCUUGGGAAGGACUCGAUGUCUGGAUAAAACAAACCAGUCAAUAACACCUGUCUGACUGUGUAAAUAAAUAAAUAAAUAAAUAAAUAAUACAGAAUA